Molecule: ribosomal RNA, 253 nt
Filed under: uncultured bacterium
Lineage: Bacteria
Description: partial 16S ribosomal RNA
Rfam family: Bacterial small subunit ribosomal RNA
Source: RNAcentral
UACGUAGGGGGCAAGCGUUGUCCGGAAUCAUUGGGCGUAAAGAGCGCGUAGGCGGCCCUGUAAGUCCGCUGUGAAAGUCAAGGGCUCAACCCUUGGAUGCCGGUGGAUACUGCAGGGCUAGAGUCCGGAAGAGGCGAGUGGAAUUCCUGGUGUAGCGGUGAAAUGCGCAGAUAUCAGGAGGAACACCUAUAGCGAAGGCAGCUUGCUGGGACGACACUGACGCUGAGGCGCGAAAGCGUGGGGAGCGAACAGG